CCCUUAGAUGUUCUGGGCCGCACGCGCGCUACACUGAUGCAUUCAACGAGUCUACAACCUGGUCUGAUAGGGCUGGGUAAUCUUUUGAAUGUGCAUCGUGAUUGGGAUAGAUGAUUGCAAUUCUUCAUCUUCAACGAGGAAUGCCUAGUAAACGCAAGUCAUCAGCUUGCAUUGAUUACGUCCCUGCCCUUUGUACACACCGCCCGUCGCUACUACCGAUUGGACGGUUUAGCGAGGCCCUCGGAUCGGUACCAGGACUCCGUCAGGAGUGACUGGCAACCGAGAAGGCGGUCGAACUUGACCGUCUAGAGGAAGUAAAAGUCGUAACA
This 329-nucleotide ribosomal RNA is filed under the name uncultured eukaryote. RNAcentral's name for it is "partial 18S ribosomal RNA". It matches the Rfam family "Eukaryotic small subunit ribosomal RNA", at positions 1470 to 1796 of the family's 1831-position model. The record is from RNAcentral.